UACGGGGGGGGCAAGCGUUGUUCGGAAUUACUGGGCGUAAAGGGCUCGUAGGCGGCCAACUAAGUCGGACGUGAAAUCCCUCAGCUUAACUGGGGAACUGCGUCCGAUACUGGAUGGCUUGGAUUUGGGAGAGGGAUGCGGAAUUCCAGGUGUAGCGGUGAAAUGCGUAGAUAUCUGGAGGAACACCGGUGGCGAAGGCGGCAUCCUGGACCGAUACUGACGCUGAGGAGCGAAAGCCAGGGGAGCAAACAGG
This 253-nucleotide ribosomal RNA is filed under the name uncultured bacterium. RNAcentral's name for it is "partial 16S ribosomal RNA". It matches the Rfam family "Bacterial small subunit ribosomal RNA", at positions 524 to 776 of the family's 1533-position model. The record is from RNAcentral.